Molecule: ribosomal RNA, 253 nt
Filed under: uncultured bacterium
Lineage: Bacteria
Description: partial 16S ribosomal RNA
Rfam family: Bacterial small subunit ribosomal RNA
Source: RNAcentral
UACGUAGGCAGCGAGCGUUGUUCGGAGUUACUGGGCGUAAAGCGUGCGUAGGCGGUCUUGUAAGUCUGGUGUGAAAUCUCCCGGCUCAACUGGGAGGGUGCGCCGGAAACUGCAAGGCUGGAGUAUGGGAGAGGUAGGCGGAAUUCCUUGUGUAGCGGUGAAAUGCGUAGAUAUCAGGAGGAACACCGAUGGCGAAGGCAGGUCUCUGGGCAUUAACUGACGCUGAGGAGCGAAAGCAUGGGGAGCGAACAGG